UUUUUUGACACAAAGGAUCCACUCCAUAUCCAACCACACCUAAAGAAAUGCUUUGAAGGAAUUGCCAAGCUCACUUUUAAUCAUGAGAAAGAAAUUACCCACAUGGAGUCAGCAGAAAAUGAAAAAGUAGAGCUCGUGCUGUGAAUAAUUCCAGCGAGUGCCAAGGGGCUAGUUGAGAAAUGGCUUCAUGAGG
RNAcentral lists this long non-coding RNA (193 nucleotides) under Nothoprocta perdicaria. RNAcentral's name for it is "Rhabdomyosarcoma 2 associated transcript conserved region 9 (ENSNPEG00000007634.1)". It matches the Rfam family "Rhabdomyosarcoma 2 associated transcript conserved region 9". The record is from RNAcentral. Lineage: Eukaryota; Metazoa; Chordata; Aves; Tinamiformes; Tinamidae.